Molecule: long non-coding RNA, 998 nt
Filed under: Marmota monax (woodchuck)
Lineage: Eukaryota; Metazoa; Chordata; Mammalia; Rodentia; Sciuridae
Source: RNAcentral
UCAUGCACGAGUGUGCAUGCGCUGUGUGCAUCUCUGCAGCUGUGAUCCCACACGUGUGUGCACAGCCCAUGGGCAGCAAUGCAGAACGUGGGAGCUGUGCUUAGCUGGAUUUUCGUGUGGAGCACCACAGCUCCUGGGUCCCCUGCAGCCGCUCUGGCAUUUCUGGGAGUGAAGAAAGGAGGACACGGAGCUGCCAAGCCCUGUUCCUGUCUGGUGUGGUGCAGGGUCCUGGGCUGUGUUGCCUUGUGUCCCCAGAGCCCUGGAAGGAGAGUGUCACUGUGACUUUCAGUGAGGGGUCUUGAGCUCAGGGAUGUGCUUGAAGAUUGGCGGUAUGAGCUGGUCAGUUUUGAGAGGGAGAUUUAACCUGAGGGCCUCACUGGGUGCUGCUGAGGUUUCCCAGAGGUCUCAGUGGGGAGCUGUGGGCCAGCUGCAGCCUCCUCUGAGGGCAGACCCUCAUCAGUGUGGGAUGGAGUUCUGUCUUGGCACAGGGCCUACCUGUCUCAGGAUGGCUCCUGGACAGCAUCAGGCCUGUGGCCGGCAGCCUGUCCUCCCUGGACUGGGCCUCCCUGAAAAGCCCCUUCCUCCGCGCAGGGCCAACUUCCUGAGACCCUGCACAGAAGAGCUGGGGACGAACAGACACAUGGGGACUGAGGUCCUGGGCUAGUGAGUGGGGAGCCUCUGGCCACAAGGCUACCUACCCUCUGGGGCAGGACAGAAGGGCUGAGCACCUUGCCUGGAGAGGUCCACCAAGAUUGGCCCCACCAAGCUGUUACUGAACCCCCAAGCCCGGCUCCUCCUCUGUGAAUGGGGACUGCUGAGGGGCACCACCCAGGGCCCAGCACUCAAGGAGGCGCUCCAUCUCGGACGCAGGUGCUGCCCCAGAGCUGCUUCAAGGCAAGGGAUGGUGUAGGGAAGCACAGGCUUACUUACACAGGAGUGCUACUGCAGAGUCCUUGCUGCAGUCUGCUCCUCGGGUAUGCGCCCCUCCCCCUCCCCUC